RNAcentral lists this long non-coding RNA (1130 nucleotides) under Homo sapiens (human). RNAcentral's name for it is "non-protein coding lnc-HASPIN-2:1". The record is from RNAcentral. Lineage: Eukaryota; Metazoa; Chordata; Mammalia; Primates; Hominidae.
GUAGAGAUGGGGUUUUACCAUGUUGCCCAGGCUGGUCUCAAACUCCUGGGCUCAAGUGAUCCUCCCACCUCAGCCUCCCGAGUAGCUGGGACUACAGGCACACAUCACCGUGCCUGGUUCAUUUUUAUUUUUAUUUGGUAGAGAUGGGGUCUCACUGUAUUGCCCAGGCUGGUCUCAAACUCGGAUUACAGGAACCAGCCUGGGCAAUAUAGUCUUACUAUAUUGCCCAGGCUGGUCCCAAACUGGGAUUACAGGAAACAGCCCCUGCGCUGGCCGACAAAUACUUUUUCAAUGCCUACUGCAUGCCAGGCACACAUCUGACAGAGAAGUACAGCAGUGAAUAUAUGACAGGCAAGGCCCGUGCCUUCAAUGUUUUAUGUAUGAGGUUUUCUAUAAUUAAGGUUCCUCUUCCCAACCCAUCCCUAUCUGCUAGUAAAAUCUAUUUACUAAAAUAGAAUCAGGGCCAGAAUAACACCGAGGGCCGGGCGUGGUGGCUCACGCCUGUAAUCCCAACAGUUUGGGAGGCCGAGGAGGGCAGAUCACCUGCGGUCAGGAGUUUGAGGCCAGCCUGGCCAACAUGGAGAAAUCCCAUCUCUACUAAAAAUACAAAAUUAGCUGGCUGUUGUGGCACAUGCCUGUAAUCCCAGCUACUUGGGAGGCUGGGGCAGGAGAAUUGCUUGAAGCCGGGAGGCAGAGGUUGCCAUGAGCCAACAUCACACCACUGCAGUCUAGCCUGGGCAACGGGCGAAACUCCAUCUCAAAAAAAAAAAAAAAAAAGGAAUAACAUCAAAACUUGUAACACUACAAAAUUCAGCAUAAAAAUUUCAUAGAGUAUUACUAUUUUACAAUGUUUUCUGUACUUACUGUGUAAUAAGGAUUUUUUCCAAGUCAUUUUUCUUUAAAAACAUGCUAUUAAAUAUGUGUACAGAAUUCUACCACCACUAUAUAAGAUCCAUUUUCCUUUUUAAAAAAAAUCAAGUUAUCACUAAUCCAGGAUCUUUACAUUUUUAACCUUCUCAUGUCAUUUUAAACAUACCAUUUAUUUUAGAAUGAGAAGAUUUUUAGGCUUAAUACCUAUUAUCAAACCAUAUUUUAAAGGAUUGUAUCAAUUUAUACUGCCAUCAGCAAUC